RNAcentral lists this long non-coding RNA (1936 nucleotides) under Equus caballus (horse). RNAcentral's name for it is "lncRNA (ENSECAG00000047198.1)". The record is from RNAcentral. Lineage: Eukaryota; Metazoa; Chordata; Mammalia; Perissodactyla; Equidae.
UGUUUUGCUCCCGCCUUUCCUACCAUUUUUACCCUCUCAAUUUUUAGUCAGAAGUGAGAUAAUCAGAUGCCAUCUUCCAUGGAUAUAGUUAUUUAUGCAAUAUACUGCUCUAAACAAGGCCCUUGUUAACCCUUUUAUUUUAACUAACCACUACCCAGUUGUUCUAAGCAGCAUUCUGGGGCCAUGGUACCACUUUUCUCCAGCCCCAGCAGUGGAGCUUGGCUGUGUCUCUCUCAAGAACAGAUGGGCUGGGCAGCCGCCUUGGGGGUGUGGCGUGAGGCAAAGCCUCUUGAACACAAAUGGUAUCCUCCUCAUAAUGGCUUUAUUCCUUCAGAUCCUAUUAAAGUAGUCCUGCAGCUUGUAGUAGUGUUUGACCUCUGUGAAUCUCUGUUUUCUCAUCUGUAAAAUGGGGAUAAUAACAGCAACUAUCUUUAAAUUCAGCAAAUACUUACUGAGUGCCUAAUAUCACCCCGAUACUGUUCUAGAGACUGGGGACAGCAGUGAACAAAUCAGAUAAAAAAUAAAUGCCCUCAGAGAGCCUACAUUUGAGUGACGUUGCAGAUUUACCAUAAGGAUUAAGUGAGGUGAUGUUCGGAAAGCAUUCAUGGCAAGGUGUAGUGUAGAGAAGGAACUCAAGGCAUUAUUUGUAAUGUGUCGAUCCCACACAGUAGCACUAGGGCUCAGGAUGUAAGCCACAUAGAAGUAGAUUUUUGCAGAUUUGGACCCAGGAUUAGGGCUAUAUAAAAAUGCAAUGAGUUGUCCUGGUCAUUUUAGGACAUUCAAAAUUUGGCUGUAUCACCACUUAGUGGGGCAAUUGUAAAGGGGGCACAAGCCCAGGAUGUUGGAGUUGGGUUGUAACCCUUGAAAGAAUGGGAUACAGGCACUUGGGGAUGGGGGCAGGGAGUGGGGAGGGCACUUAUAUUUAAUUACUGUGCCUGGCUUGUCUGAAGACAUUUGAACAUUCCUUUUGGGUAAUUUGCUUUUAAGUUUGUGCUACAUAAAAAGUACCAGGUAUUUGAAGACAAAGUUUCUAUUUUUUAAAAGCAUGGUAAAGCUGCAACACGAAGGAAAAUAUUAAAUUAGUACUACUGGAUUCUCUGGCAAAGAACUGAGAAUGGCUUCAGCCAGCACAUUGCAGUGUUCCUCCCUGUGGUGGUUACAACUGUUUAUUUCUGUUUCAUGCCAGUCCAAGAGAAAGCAAAGAGGAAAGUGAAUGAGCUAAAAUCCAUUCACCUGAAUAGGCAGUGUCAGGAUGUCCUCCCCAGCCCACCUCUCACCUGCCCCCUUCUUCCCAGGUGAUCUGUUUGAAGUCCUCUUUGAUAUCUAGGAGGGCGCCAUGCAAGGAAGAGGAAGUGAGGUGACCAGAGAGCUAUGGCCUCUGUGCAGAUUUUUAAGUUAGAUUAAAAUUAGCACCGCAAGGGUUUGGAGGAGCCCACCUGGUGGGUAAAGAAGGCUUCUUUUCAAAGUAUAAGGAAAGCAAUGUGUACCAAGGAGGCAACCCACCAAGGAACCUUGGGGGAAGGAAUGCUGUUCCUGUGGAAUGUGCCAGCCUCUUCUCCUUCCAGAAUGUUGACACCAGAUGAAUCUUUGGAUAGAAUUAAGCUUACUCCCUCAUUUUUCACAUAAGAAAACUGAAACAUGGAGAAGUGAAAUUACAUGCGCACAGCUAGUUAGAAGCAGAUACAGGACUGUGAUGGAAGUCUCCUAGUUCCUAGCCUCAGUCCUGUCCCCAUUCUGCCACUUUACUGCCAAAUUCUAUGUAUCUAAAUUAUGGGGUCUUAACCUAGGGGCCAUGAAUAAAUUGUUGGGAGGGUGGGACUCUGAACUCCCUAAAAUUAAAUUAUAUGCAAAAAUGUGUGUCUGUGUUCAAUAUGUGCAUUUUCCUAAAGAGAGAGCUCACAGUUGUCAUCAGAUUCCAAAAGAGGUCUGUGACCCA